Molecule: ribosomal RNA, 496 nt
Filed under: uncultured bacterium
Lineage: Bacteria
Description: partial 16S ribosomal RNA
Rfam family: Bacterial small subunit ribosomal RNA
Source: RNAcentral
GAUGAACGCUGGCGGCGUGCCUAAUACAUGCAAGUCGAGCGAACGGACGAGAAGCUUGCUUUUCUGAUGUUAGCGGCGGACGGGUGAGUAACACGUGGAUAACCUACCUAUAAGACUGGGAUAACUUCGGGAAACCGGAGCUAAUACCGGAUAAUAUUUUGAACCGCAUGGUUCAAAAGUGAAAGACGGUCUUGCUGUCACUUAUAGAUGGAUCCGCGCUGCAUUAGCUAGUUGGUAAGGUAACGGCUUACCAAGGCAACGAUGCAUAGCCGACCUGAGAGGGUAAUCGGCCACACUGGAACUGAGAAACGGUCCGGACUCCUACGGGAGGCAGCAGUAGGGAAUCUUCCGCAAUGGGCGAAGCCUGACGGAGCAACGCCGCGUGAGUGAUGAAGGUCUUCGGAUCGUAAAACUCUGUUAUUAGGGAAGAACAUAUGUGUAAGUAACUGUGCACAUCUUGACGGUACCUAAUCAGAAAGCCACGGCUAACUACGUG